This 1126-nucleotide long non-coding RNA is filed under the name Homo sapiens (human). Its description in RNAcentral is "HSALNT0401935". Lineage: Eukaryota; Metazoa; Chordata; Mammalia; Primates; Hominidae. The record is from RNAcentral.
CGUAGAUGAGACUCCAUCUGCCCGGAGCAGCUUUCCUGAGCCUUGGAGGAUAGCUUCGUCAUGGCUCCUAGACUUCCGUUUAUCCUUGCUGCCUAUCUGGUUGCAGCCUGCAGCCUGGCCAUCCUGCAGGCUGGGAAGCACAGCCCCUGGCAAAAACCAGACGCGAGCACUUCAGAGAAGGAAGGAUGAGACAGGAAUUGAAGCUGAACAGUUUCCAGAUGUGGCUGAAGGCAAACAGUAAUUGCCCGGUUUAAUGGAAGAUGGUUAAGCCUGUGUUGGACAUCUGCUGUCUUUGCCGCCCUAGUCUGCAUUUCCCAGUAUUCUGCCAGCAGAAACCGCUGAAGCUCAUGAUGUGAGGCAAAUCCUCUCCGACUGCAAUUCCUCCCUAACUACAUUCCCCUGGACGCUUUCCUUUACCUGGCACACCACUGAAAAAAAGAAGAGGAACCCAUGUUUCAAACCAACGGAUUGUUUAGCAGCCACAUCUGUACAAGCUCAAAAAAAAAAGAAAAGAAAAAGCCUGGGUGCUUUCUCCUUUGGCACCAGCGAGACAUCCAAACCAUGGAAACCUCUGCCCAUAUGGAAUGCUCACCCUGGUCCCACGGUGAAUCAUAAUAGAGACCCAAGCCAGUCACCUUUCCUGGCCCUCACAAACCAUUUCUGACCUGCUUGAGAGGUCUGCCCGGUUCUCCCAGAGACCUCAAUUAUAGUUGAAGACCAUGUAUAUACAAGAAGCGAGAGUAGAGACCUGCUACUAAGGCCAGUGGGAAAGCGAAAGCACUUGGUGAUCUCUUUACGCAUACCUGCUCCCCUUCCACUUUCCACCAUGACUGGAAGCACCAUGAGGCCCUCACCAGAUGGAGCUGCUCAAUCUUAAACUUUUCAGCCACCAGAAUUAUAAGCCAAAUAAACUUCUUUUCUUUAUAAAUUACCCAGCCUCAGGCAUUCUGUUAUGGCAACACAAGAUGGACAAAGACAAUGCUAGAACUACUAGAAAGUGAGUUUUCUCUUUUGCCCUGGACUGACCAGACACCACCACUUGGAGCCUGAAACUAAAGCUGAUGGAGUAGAAGGCAGAGCUGAUAGAGAGAAACAGAUUUGCGAUAAUAGCAUUUCUACCUUGUCU